UACAGAGGUCUCAAGUGUUGUUCGGAAUCACUGGGCGUAAAGGGUGUGUAGGCGGUGUGCUAAGUCAGAUGUGAAAGCCCGGGGCUCAACCUCGGAACUGCAUCCGAUACUGGCAUGCUAGAGAAUUGGAGAGGAGUCUAGAAUUCACGGUGUAGCAGUGAAAUGCGUAGAUAUCGUGAGGAAUACCAAGUGCGAAGGCAGGACUCUGGACAUUUUUCUGACGCUGAGACACGAAGGCCCAGGGGAGCAAAACGGG
This 256-nucleotide ribosomal RNA is filed under the name uncultured bacterium. Its description in RNAcentral is "partial 16S ribosomal RNA". It matches the Rfam family "Bacterial small subunit ribosomal RNA", at positions 524 to 777 of the family's 1533-position model. The record is from RNAcentral.